AAACCUCAGAGCAUCUCCUGUGUCGUCAACGAUCGCUGUAACGAUUUUUAACCUUUUCGCUCCAAAAAGAAGAUGGCCUUACGCUUCACUCUCUCCUCCCCUUCUCCCUCUCUACAGCCACCACUCAUCCAUUCUCCUCCCCCGCUUAAACUUUCAACUCUGCCCCUUAAUUCAAACUUAUUCACAUAUUCUGCCACUCGCUCUCUCCGUCUCCGCUCCACCCGUCGUCUUCCUGCAGUCACUGCCUCUGUCCCUGCCGUAGAAACCACAGGGACUACUGGAACGGAUUCAGGGAAGAAAAGGCCGUUGCUGGAAGUCAAGGAUUUGACCGCUGUGAUUGCUGAGUCGAAACAGGAGAUUCUCAAAGGCGUCAACGUUGUCCUUUACGAAGGAGAGGUUCAUGCUAUUAUGGGAAAAAAUGGCUCUGGUAAGAGCACAUUUUCAAAGGUUCUUGCUGGGCAUCCGGAUUAUGAGGUAACUGGAGGGAGUGUAGUGUUUAAAGGUGAGAACUUGCUUGACAUGGAGCCAGAAGAAAGGUCACUUGCUGGGCUUUUUAUGAGUUUUCAGUCACCAGUUGAGAUUCCUGGUGUUAACAAUAUUGAUUUUCUUAAUAUGGCUUAUAAUGCGCGAAGACGGAAACUCGGUCUGCCUGAACUUGGACCUAUCGAGUUCUAUGCGUAUUUGUUUCCAAAACUUGAGCUUGUGAACAUGAAGAGUGAUUUUCUUAAUAGAAAUGUGAAUGAAGGGUUCAGUGGUGGUGAAAGAAAGCGGAAUGAGAUUUUACAACUUGCGGUUUUGGGUGCAGAAUUGGCUAUAUUAGAUGAAAUUGAUUCUGGUUUGGAUAUCGAUGCCCUUCAAGAUGUAGCAAAAGCAGUGAAUGGGAUGUUGACCCCAAACAAUGCUGUUUUGAUGAUUACUCAUUAUCUACGGCUUCUGGAAUUCAUCAAGCCCACGUGCAUUCAUAUCAUGGAGAAUGGCAGAAUUGUAAAAACCGGUGAUAUUUCCAUAGCAAAGACACUUGAGAAGGAAGGUUACAAAGCAAUCUCUGCCUCUUAACUGCUGGCCAGUAGUAGCAUUGGCGUGAAGAGAAAAUACUGGAUGCUAGAUUAAAUGUUGAUUACAUUUGAAAGAUGCCUCAGGUCCAUUUUUGACAAGAAGGAUUAUGAUGUAAUUCCUCUCGAAGAAUGGCAUUGUUUGUACAAAAAUUUGCAGACCCUGUCAUCGAAUGAUAAGUUUUUGGAUUCUUUGAAAUUCAUAAUCUUUCAUCUUAAUUUGAAUCAUGUCUAGCGUUCCACUUGGCCACCUUCCUCUCUGGAGCACUGCUUUUGUUUUUGGUUCUCUGUAAUUCACAUGAAUAAAAAAUCUUUUGUCAGUGUGUUUUAUGAUCAAA
This is an RNA transcript of Populus nigra (black poplar), 1390 nucleotides long. It is a transcript of the gene named ABC transporter I family member 6, chloroplastic, with no coding region annotated. The record is from RefSeq and is a predicted model, not a curated record. NCBI's taxonomy places the organism in Eukaryota, Viridiplantae, Streptophyta, Magnoliopsida, Malpighiales, Salicaceae. The transcript has 8 exons.